This 298-nucleotide ribosomal RNA is filed under the name uncultured bacterium. RNAcentral describes it as "partial 16S ribosomal RNA". It matches the Rfam family "Bacterial small subunit ribosomal RNA", at positions 475 to 776 of the family's 1533-position model. The record is from RNAcentral.
CUAUGCGCCUUGCCAGCCCGCUCAGGUGUGCCAGCCGCGCGGUAAUACGUAGGGGGCAAGCGUUAUCCGGAUUUACUGGGUGUAAAGGGCGUGUAGCCGGGCCGGCAAGUCAGAUGUGAAAUCCCAAGGCUCAACCUUGGAACUGCAUUUGAAACUGUUGGUCUUGAGUAUCGGAGAGGCAGGCGGAAUUCCUAGUGUAGCGGUGAAAUGCGUAGAUAUUAGGAGGAACACCAGUGGCGAAGGCGGCCUGCUGGACGACAACUGACGGUGAGGCGCGAAAGCGUGGGGAGCAAACAGG